This 462-nucleotide ribosomal RNA is filed under the name uncultured bacterium. RNAcentral's name for it is "partial 16S ribosomal RNA". It matches the Rfam family "Bacterial small subunit ribosomal RNA", at positions 28 to 507 of the family's 1533-position model. The record is from RNAcentral.
GAUGAACGCUGACAGAAUGCUUAACACAUGCAAGUCUUUCGCGAAGCUGUGCUUGCACAGCCUAGCCAAGGCGGACGGGUGAGUAACGCGUAAUGAACUUGCCCUGCAGUCAGGGAUAACAGACGGAAACGACUGAUAAGACCUGGUAAAGUCAGUCGGACUCAUGUCCAGCCUGAUGAAAAGAGAUGCUGCAGGCGCGCCUUGCGUCCUAUUAGCUUGUUGGUGUGGUAACGGCCCACCAAGGCGAUGAUAGGUAGCCGGCCUGAGAGGGUGGACGGCCACAAGGGGACGGAGAUACGGCCCUUACUCCUACGGGAGGCAGCAGUGGGGAAUAUUGGACAAUGGGGGCAACCCUGAUCCAGCAAUGCUGUGUGCACGAUGAAGGUUUGAGGAUUGUAAAGUGCUUUCAGCAGGGAAGAAAAAAUGACGGUACCUGCAGAAGAAGCGACGGCUAAAUACGUG